This 1632-nucleotide long non-coding RNA is filed under the name Sorghum bicolor (sorghum). Its description in RNAcentral is "long non-coding RNA (SBIC_LNC007666)". Lineage: Eukaryota; Viridiplantae; Streptophyta; Magnoliopsida; Poales; Poaceae. The record is from RNAcentral.
AUAAACACUACAUAUGCGUACACUGGUCAGGUACUUGGGACGCUCAGCGUAGCAUCUGUCACAUGCUUGUGCCAUCACAGGCUCAUCUACGUAUUCUCAGGCUAAGUAUACGAGUGUGUGUGCACCUUAGACUUCUCUCUUGGACAUACGGGAGAGCUUGCACCUGGUUGCUUUUUUAUUCUCCUCUAGCUUCUUAUGAAUAGAACAUUUGAUAUGCACAUACACGUGAGAAUUUUUGUAAAAAUUUUCAUUAAACAUCCUGAACCCCAAGUGUAGAUUCCACAACCAAGGAAUUUGAUCGACGAAGGUGGACACACAGGUGCCACGAUCCGCCAUUUGUUUUGAUAAGCCUGGAUACCAUAUCUACAGAUGUCACUAGGUGAUGUGGUCUACACCUAACGAGGCUUCCUAGUACCAACCAGCUCUACGACGAAACGAAACGAGAAAAAUGAAUGUGGUGGCUGAAGUUGUCUGUCUCCUUCUGAGGUUGGGUAGCACGAGGGUGUGCUGUAGCAGAGGUUGCAAGCUGUGGAGAUCUGUACUGGGGUGCAUGGUUAUAUGGAGUGGUAUAGUAGGUCUGUGAGUCCAUACAGGUUUUCUGGAAGCCACAUGGUCAUGAGGUCUGGAUGCUGAUAGCAUUCCUAAUACCUCCCAGCCCUAUACAACAAACACAGAAAUAUGGUUGACGACAGAUUUGGUCAUUGUGCAUGGGUUGGGUGAUAUGCAUUGCAUUGCCUCCACAGAUGCAUACGACGAUACUAUAUAUAAGUGAAUGAAUGCUUUCACCCAUGGUACAUGGCCAAAUCAAUGUGUCAACUAAUAAGCUUUCAAAACUAUUGCUUGCCAUAAAUAAAACAACCAAAAAGGAAGACCACGCAACUCAAAUCAGUUAAUCUAUACUCCUUGUAUUCUAUAACACUUCUCCAUACAUAGAAGUGGUGUUUAGGUACUAGUUGUAUUUUUGUUCAUACUAUGAUAAAAAUUAGUUGAUGCUCGAAAUGUUCAUUUAUGGUUGGUACCACGUGCACUGUUCCUAGAGGAUCCUUACAAGUUUCCUGUAGUCCUUCUCGUCCCGUAGCUGGAUGUCAGUGUCACUUUACAAGCCACAACACAGUACCUUCAGGGAACGCAACACUCGUCCACAACGAAGUGCGAACACCGAGCCACCGCCUUGAAGCUAUCUGAUGCAUCCACAGUCCCAUGGUCAUGAUAGCAGGGUCUGGGGGCGGAUGCAUGGAGUAGGGGUGUGGGGGUGAAUGUGGACUGGAAGAUAAGAUGCAAGCUUCCUUGGAGUUGUGGAGAUUUAGGUUUAGGAUUUUUAUUUAUUUUCUAAAUAUGUCUGCUGUAGAGAAGGCGCCAACAUGAAAGCUAGAGUGCUAACGCCAAAUUUUUCUCUGUGCAAGUCCAUGUCCAAAACAGGGCCAAAGCCAAAUCCUUGUGCCGAUUUAUUUUUCUGUGUGUAUAUAGUUUUAAUGUGUGUGUAAUGGAACAAGUCUACAUAGCCCCCCCCCCCCCCAAACUAUCUAGAGUGGACUACUUCAUGCCCCGAACUAUAAAACCAAAACCAGUCAAAUAACCUCUCGAGUGGUUUUAGAGGGUGGUUUUGUUUUUUCUUUUUUAUUUAUUUCGGCU